GGGGGAAAUUAAGAAGGACGCAGGCGGGCUGGACCUCUCGGGGUUACAGCCUUGCUGAAUUAUUCACCCUUGUCUUUUGCGUACUUCUUGUUUCCUUGGUGGGUUCGCCCACCACUAGGACAAACAUAAACCUUUUGUAAUUGCAAUCAGCGUCAGUAACAAAUUAAUAAUUACAACUUUCAACAACGGAUCUCUUGGUUCUGGCAUCGAUGAAGAACGCAGCGAAAUGCGAUAAGUAGUGUGAAUUGCAGAAUUCAGUGAAUCAUCGAAUCUUUGAACGCACAUUGCGCCCUUUGGUAUUCCAAAGGGCAUGCCUGUUCGAGCGUCAUUUGUACCCUCAAGCUUUGCUUGGUGUUGGGCGUCUUGUCUCUAGCUUUGCUGGAGACUCGCCUUAAAGUAAUUGGCAGCCGGCCUACUGGUUUCGGAGCGCAGCACAAGUCGCACUCUCUAUCAGCAAAGGUCUAGCAUCCAUUAAGCCUUUUUUUCAACUUUUGACCUCGGAUCAGGUAGGGAUACCCGCUGAACUUAAG
Molecule: ribosomal RNA, 530 nt
Filed under: Alternaria sp. HL4528S
Lineage: Eukaryota; Fungi; Ascomycota; Dothideomycetes; Pleosporales; Pleosporaceae
Description: eukaryotic LSU rRNA
Rfam family: 5.8S ribosomal RNA (bases 175-328)
Source: RNAcentral